This 253-nucleotide ribosomal RNA is filed under the name uncultured bacterium. RNAcentral describes it as "partial 16S ribosomal RNA". It matches the Rfam family "Bacterial small subunit ribosomal RNA", at positions 524 to 776 of the family's 1533-position model. The record is from RNAcentral.
UACAGAGGUGGCAAGCGUUGUUCGGAAUUACUGGGCGUAAAGCGCACGUAGGCGGCUUUGUAAGUUAGAGGUGAAAGCCCGGGGCUCAACUCCGGAACUGCCUUUAAGACUGCAUCGCUUGAAUCCGGGAGAGGUGAGUGGAAUUCCGAGUGUAGAGGUGAAAUUCGUAGAUAUUCGGAAGAACACCAGUGGCGAAGGCGGCUCACUGGACCGGUAUUGACGCUGAGGUGCGAAAGCGUGGGGAGCAAACAGG